CUUAGCUCAAUUGGUAGAGCAACUGACUUGUAAUCAGUAGGUUGGGGGUUCAAGUCCUCUAG
Molecule: transfer RNA, 62 nt
Filed under: Bacillus cereus VD115
Lineage: Bacteria; Bacillati; Bacillota; Bacilli; Caryophanales; Bacillaceae
Description: tRNA-Thr
Rfam family: tRNA
About the family: Transfer RNA (tRNA) molecules are approximately 80 nucleotides in length. Their secondary structure includes four short double-helical elements and three loops (D, anti-codon, and T loops). Further hydrogen bonds mediate the characteristic L-shaped molecular structure. tRNAs have two regions of fundamental functional importance: the anti-codon, which is responsible for specific mRNA codon recognition, and the 3' end, to which the tRNAs corresponding amino acid is attached (by aminoacyl-tRNA synthetases). tRNAs cope with the degeneracy of the genetic code in two manners: having more than one tRNA (with a specific anti-codon) for a particular amino acid; and 'wobble' base-pairing, i.e. permitting non-standard base-pairing at the 3rd anti-codon position.
Source: RNAcentral